AGAAUCAACGCUGGCGGCGUGCCUAACACAUGCAAGUCGAACGCGGUUACCCCGCAAGGGGUGACUGAGUGGCGAACGGGUGAGUAACACGUGGGUGACCUGCCUUCGAGUGGGGGAUAACAUCCCGAAAGGGGUGCUAAUACCGCAUGACAUCCUGCCUUUAAAGAGGUGGAGAUUAAAGCUGGGGAUCGUAAGACCUGGCGCUUGAAGAGGGGCCCGCGUCCGAUUAGCUAGUUGGUGGGGUAACGGCCUACCAAGGCGACGAUCGGUA
RNAcentral lists this ribosomal RNA (271 nucleotides) under uncultured soil bacterium. RNAcentral describes it as "partial 16S ribosomal RNA". It matches the Rfam family "Bacterial small subunit ribosomal RNA", at positions 26 to 285 of the family's 1533-position model. The record is from RNAcentral.